CAAAGGAGGCGACUCCGGUGACGGAUGGGCAUGCGGCGCAUUAGGUAGUUGGUAGGGUAACGGCCUACCAAGCCGACGAUGCGUAGGGGUUCUGAGAGGAAGGUCCCCCACAUUGGAACUGAGACACGGUCCAAACUCCUACGGGAGGCAGCAGUGAGGAAUAUUGGUCAAUGGCCGGAAGGCUGAACCAGCCAAGUCGCGUGAGGGAAUAAGGCCCUAUGGGUCGUAAACCUCUUUUGUCAGGGAGCAAAGGCGUCCACGUGUGGACGAGAGGAGAGUACCUGAAGAAAAAGCAUCGGCUAACUCCGUGCCAGCAGCCGCGGUAAUACGGAGGAUGCGAGCGUUAUCCGGAUUUAUUGGGUUUAAAGGGUGCGUAGGCGGAGUGUCAAGUCAGCGGUAAAAUUUCGGGGCUCAACCCCGUCGUGCCGUUGAAACUGACACCCUUGAGUGAGUGAGAAGUAAGCGGAAUGCGUGGUGUAGCGGUGAAAUGCAUAGAUAUCACGCAGAACGCCGAUUGCGAAGGCAGCUUACCGGCGCUCAACUGACGCUGAGGCACGAAAGUGCGGGUAUCAAACAGGAUUAGAUACCCUGGUAGUCCGCACAGU
Molecule: ribosomal RNA, 605 nt
Filed under: uncultured bacterium
Lineage: Bacteria
Description: bacterial SSU rRNA
Rfam family: Bacterial small subunit ribosomal RNA
Source: RNAcentral